Molecule: ribosomal RNA, 430 nt
Filed under: uncultured bacterium
Lineage: Bacteria
Description: bacterial SSU rRNA
Rfam family: Bacterial small subunit ribosomal RNA
Source: RNAcentral
UUGAGGAUCUUCCGCAAUGGGUGCAAGCCUGAUGGAGCGACGUUGCGUGUGGGAUGAAGGCUUUCGGGUUGUAAACCACUGUCACUCGUUAAGAAAGGGUCCGGUGUUAACAGCAUCGGGAACUGACAAAGGCGAGAGAGGAAGCCACGGCUAACUUCGUGCCAGCAGCCGCGGUAAGACGAAGGUGGCGAGCGUUGUUCGGAAUCACUGGGCAUAAAGCGCACGUAGGCGGCGACGUAAGUUGGGUGUGAAACCCCUCGGCCUAACCGAGGAACUGCGCCCAGUACUGCGUUGCUUGAGGAUCAAAGGGGUGCAUGGAAUUCCCGGUGGAGCGGUGAAAUGCGUUGAUAUCGGGAGGAACUCCGGCGGCGAAAGCGGUGCACUGGUUGAUUUCUGACGCUGAGGUGCGAAAGCCAGGGGAGCAAACGGG